CCUACGGGAGGCAGCAGUGAGGAAUAUUGGUCAAUGGACGAGAGUCUGAACCAGCCAAGUAGCGUGAAGGAUGACUGCCCUAUGGGUUGUAAACUUCUUUUAUAAAGGAAUAAAACGAGGCACGUGUGCCUUUUUGCAUGUACUUUAUGAAUAAGGAUCGGCUAACUCCGUGCCAGCAGCCGCGGUAAUACGGAGGAACCGAGCGUUAUCCGGAUUUAUUGGGUUUAAAGGGAGCGUAGAUGGGUUGUUAAGUCAGUUGUGAAAGUUUGCGGCUCAACAGUAAAAUUGCAAUUGAUACUGGCAGUCGUGAGUACAGUUGAGGUAGGCGGAAUUCGUGGUGUAGCGGUGAAAUGCUUAGAUAUCACGAAGAACCCCGAUUGCGAAGGCAGCUUACUAAACUGUGACUGACAUUGAUGCUCGAAAGUGUGGGUAUCAAACAGGAUUAGAUACCCUAGUAGUC
This 460-nucleotide ribosomal RNA is filed under the name uncultured bacterium. RNAcentral describes it as "partial 16S ribosomal RNA". It matches the Rfam family "Bacterial small subunit ribosomal RNA", at positions 338 to 795 of the family's 1533-position model. The record is from RNAcentral.